Molecule: ribosomal RNA, 944 nt
Filed under: Staphylococcus aureus
Lineage: Bacteria; Bacillati; Bacillota; Bacilli; Caryophanales; Staphylococcaceae
Description: partial 23S ribosomal RNA
Rfam family: Bacterial large subunit ribosomal RNA
Source: RNAcentral
GGUGAAAAGCACCCCGGAAGGGGAGUGAAAUAGAACCUGAAACCGUGUGCUUACAAGUAGUCAGAGCCCGUUAAUGGGUGAUGGCGUGCCUUUUGUAGAAUGAACCGGCGAGUUACGAUUUGAUGCAAGGUUAAGCAGUAAAUGUGGAGCCGUAGCGAAAGCGAGUCUGAAUAGGGCGUUUAGUAUUUGGUCGUAGACCCGAAACCAGGUGAUCUACCCUUGGUCAGGUUGAAGUUCAGGUAACACUGAAUGGAGGACCGAACCGACUUACGUUGAAAAGUGAGCGGAUGAACUGAGGGUAGCGGAGAAAUUCCAAUCGAACCUGGAGAUAGCUGGUUCUCUCCGAAAUAGCUUUAGGGCUAGCCUCAAGUGAUGAUUAUUGGAGGUAGAGCACUGUUUGGACGAGGGGCCCCUCUCGGGUUACCGAAUUCAGACAAACUCCGAAUGCCAAUUAAUUUAACUUGGGAGUCAGAACAUGGGUGAUAAGGUCCGUGUUCGAAAGGGAAACAGCCCAGACCACCAGCUAAGGUCCCAAAAUAUAUGUUAAGUGGAAAAGGAUGUGGCGUUGCCCAGACAACUAGGAUGUUGGCUUAGAAGCAGCCAUCAUUUAAAGAGUGCGUAAUAGCUCACUAGUCGAGUGACACUGCGCCGAAAAUGUACCGGGGCUAAACAUAUUACCGAAGCUGUGGAUUGUCCUUUGGACAAUGGUAGGAGAGCGUUCUAAGGGCGUUGAAGCAUGAUCGUAAGGACAUGUGGAGCGCUUAGAAGUGAGAAUGCCGGUGUGAGUAGCGAAAGACGGGUGAGAAUCCCGUCCACCGAUUGACUAAGGUUUCCAGAGGAAGGCUCGUCCGCUCUGGGUUAGUCGGGUCCUAAGCUGAGGCCGACAGGCGUAGGCGAUGGAUAACAGGUUGAUAUUCCUGUACCACCUAUAAUCGUUUUAAUCG